CCUACGGGGUGCAGCAGUGGGGAAUAUUGGACAAUGGGCGAAAGCCUGAUCCAGCCAUGCCGCGUGUGUGAAGAAGGCCUUCGGGUUGUAAAGCACUUUCAGUGGGGAAGAAAGCCUUGGGGCUAAUACCCUCGAGGAAGGACAUCACCCACAGAAGAAGCACCGGCUAACUCCGUGCCAGCAGCCGCGGUAAUACGGAGGGUGCGAGCGUUAAUCGGAAUUACUGGGCGUAAAGCGCGCGUAGGCGGUCUGAUAAGCCGGUUGUGAAAGCCCCGGGCUCAACCUGGGAACGGCAUCCGGAACUGUCAGGCUAGAGUGCAGGAGAGGAAGGUAGAAUUCCCGGUGUAGCGGUGAAAUGCGUAGAGAUCGGGAGGAAUACCAGUGGCGAAGGCGGCCUUCUGGACUGACACUGACGCUGAGGUGUGAAAGCGUGGGUAGCAAACAGGAUUAGAUACCCGGGUAGUC
This 465-nucleotide ribosomal RNA is filed under the name Vreelandella stevensii. RNAcentral's name for it is "partial 16S ribosomal RNA". It matches the Rfam family "Bacterial small subunit ribosomal RNA", at positions 338 to 795 of the family's 1533-position model. The record is from RNAcentral. Lineage: Bacteria; Pseudomonadati; Pseudomonadota; Gammaproteobacteria; Oceanospirillales; Halomonadaceae.